GCCAGGUGUGGUGGUGCACACCUGUAAUCCCAGUGGCUUGGGAGGCUGAGGCAGAAGGAUCACAAGUUCAAGGCCAGCCCUAGCAACUUAGAUCCUGUCGCAA
This 103-nucleotide small RNA is filed under the name Marmota monax (woodchuck). The record is from RNAcentral. Lineage: Eukaryota; Metazoa; Chordata; Mammalia; Rodentia; Sciuridae.